This 497-nucleotide ribosomal RNA is filed under the name uncultured bacterium. RNAcentral's name for it is "partial 16S ribosomal RNA". It matches the Rfam family "Bacterial small subunit ribosomal RNA", at positions 28 to 507 of the family's 1533-position model. The record is from RNAcentral.
GAUGAACGCUGGCGGCGUGCCUAAUACAUGCAAGUCGAGCGAACGGACGAGAAGCUUGCUUCUCUGAUGUUAGCGGCGGACGGGUGAGUAACACGUGGAUAACCUACCUAUAAGACUGGGAUAACUUCGGGAAACCGGAGCUAAUACCGGAUGAUAUUUUGAACCGCAUGGUUCAAAAGUGAAAGACGGUCUUGCUGUCACUUAUAGAUGGAUCCGCGCUGCAUUAGCUAGUUGGUAAGGUAACGGCUUACCAAGGCAACGAUGCAUAGCCGACCUGAGAGGGUGAUCGGCCACACUGGAACUGAGACACAGUCCAGACUCCUACGGGAGGCAGCAGUAGGGAAUCUUCCGCAAUGGGCGAAAGCCUGACGGAGCAACGCCGCGUGAGUGAUGAAGGUCUUCGGAUCGUAAAACUCUGUUAUUAGGUAAGAACAUAUGUGUAAGUAACUGUGCACAUCUUGACGGUACCUAAUCAGAAAGCCACGGCUAACUACGUG